Molecule: long non-coding RNA, 1206 nt
Filed under: Setaria italica (foxtail millet)
Lineage: Eukaryota; Viridiplantae; Streptophyta; Magnoliopsida; Poales; Poaceae
Description: long non-coding RNA (SITA_LNC001059)
Source: RNAcentral
GGGGGGGGCAGGCGGCGCGUGGAAUCAUGUGAAAAAAUCUAAGUUCUUGCGGUACGUGGACGGGAAACCCUUUAGUACCGGAUGGGGGCUCCACUCGAUACUAAAGGUCACGCUUCAGUACCAGGUGAAGAUUUAGUACCGGAUGGAGGCUCCACUCGGUACUAAAGCGUGACCUUAAAGGAGAUCACGGAGGCCUCAUCGGAAGGUCCGGUACUAAUGUUAGCAUUAGUACCAAGCCAAAAGGUGACCAGUACUAAGCCUCAGGAUGAGAGAUCAUUUAUCUAGUAGUGCCAAAAAAAUGAAAAAACAACGAAUAUAUUCAUAUUUUACCGUAAUGACUAAACUCUACGCAAUCAUAAGGCAAGUGCACCACUUCAAUUUACUCUGACUAUAAGAAAAGUAAGACACUAAUGCAGCAAGAGCUAUACAGGGGUUGGAUGAUGUAGAGCAUGGCAAUAAUGGAUGCGGUUGGGAAGGACCAUGGUCCGGUGCCAGAUUAUAUUUCUCGUGGAAGCAAAUUUUGGAUGCCAAUUUCUCUUUCUUCAUAUUGGUCAAACGUUUAUAAAAAACAAGUUCAAUAAUUUGGAUAACCACCGUAUAAUUAAUCUCAAAAUGGACCUCGACCCGGAGCACGUACGUUAAUUUGCUAGUUACAGACACUAGAACAUAAUAAUUCGGCAUCAGUAGCCAAUAUACUUGCCUGGCGAGUUGGGGCGGCUGCAGCAGUGCUGGUCGUUGGUCCGGAGGAGGUCCUUGGCGGCCUCCGGCGACGAGACGACCACGGUGCGCACGCGGCCGAGCCGCACCUCCACGACGGGGCCGUACCUCCGCGCCACCGCAUGGAAGUAGCGGUGCGGCCGGCUGCCGAUCUGGAGGAGGUUGCCCAGCACCGGCAGCUGCUCCGGGGGCCCCGGCGGCGGAGCUCUCCUUCCAUCAUCGGCUGCUCCCUUCUUCCUCCUCCACGACAAGAGCAGGUAGAGGAGAGGAAGGACGACGAGGAGUGGGACCACCACCAGAGGAAGAAGAGGCUGCUGUGUGUCCAUGGUGCCUUCUGCUUCCGUGUUGGCCCGAACAAUAAUUGUGCAUGUGUGCUUACGAUGCUUGGGCUGCUCUGAUUGUUUAUACAUGAGGAGGAGGUGAGUUCCAAUUUAACUGGAUCAUUCACUUUCAGUUCAGUGCGGAGGUGACAAAGAAAUGUGUCGGCAG